CGUGCCGCCCCUCAGCUCAGUUCGCAGGCUGCCUACUUAAUGGCACUUACCACUGGUGCUUUCAGCUCACUUAGCCGCUCGCCCUUUGGGGAACAUUUAUUGAGUGCCUACUGUAUACCAAGGGGAACUGAUGUUGAGCAUAUUACGGAGGACUGGUACCCUGAGGACCUUCUGCAGGUAUCCCGGUGGAUGAACACAGCUGGAAUCAGUGCUGCACAACAGAGGGGAGCAAGAGAGGCGCUUCCCUGAGGACCGGAUGUGAGGGACAAGUAGCAGCUAACAGGCUCCCACCUGCCCCGGAACCAGAGCCCAGGACCCUUCUGCGGACACACAGGCUCCGAGGGAGCGGGGUGCUGGGCCGCACAAGCCCCCCUCUCCAGACGCCUCGGCCUCCAGGCUCCUACCCCUGUCCAGAGGCCCUGCAGGGGGCUCCCGGCGGUGCUUCCAGUCCGCAGGCAGGGUGCUGUGGUUAUCCUGCCCGUGAGCGCCCCCUGGCCGCUCAGGGACCUGCAGGCUGCCGAAGAGCUGACUGCCCGGAAGCUGAUAGGGGAGAGGCGGAAGGGGGAGAGAACACACAAGGAUGGAGCUUUCCAGAGAACUCCCCGCUUCGCCUCUUCCGGGUCCAGGGAGGGACACGGGAGCCCCGCACCCCAUCCGCCCGGAGCCCACGCGCCAGCCCCGCGUCUUGUCCCCCGCCCCCGGGCCAGCUCACCUGGCAUGACGUACUCAGAGCCA
This is a long non-coding RNA of Prionailurus viverrinus (fishing cat), 735 nucleotides long. RefSeq lists it as uncharacterized. The transcript has 4 exons. The record is from RefSeq and is a predicted model, not a curated record. Lineage: Eukaryota; Metazoa; Chordata; Mammalia; Carnivora; Felidae.